This is a long non-coding RNA of Bactrocera tryoni, 764 nucleotides long. RefSeq lists it as uncharacterized. The record is from RefSeq and is a predicted model, not a curated record. The transcript has 3 exons. Lineage: Eukaryota; Metazoa; Arthropoda; Insecta; Diptera; Tephritidae.
AAUAAAACAAUGUAUAACCGGUUCCGCAAAUUUGGUGUUCCUUCAAUUUUUGUUGUUUUUUGUUUUAAUUUUUUGUUAUUUGCACGAGGGCUGCGCUUUAUUAUAAUUAUUAUUAUGGCAUAUUAUUUUAUUUGUUGGUGUUGCUUCUGCGUUCUUCUAAGCCAUGUCUCGGUGUUUGAAGUAUUGAGGCAGCUAAAGGCAAUUAAUAGGAAAUGUUCCUUUAUUGCAACCCCGUUCUCGACUCGCGACCAGAGAGUUAUAAGACUCGACAGAACCGAUAAACCAUAUCAACCACAGGUGUUGAUUCUCCUGAAUAACGAGUCCUCUUACCAAUAUUUUGCUUCGCCUUGGAAGGGACAGGCCCGAUGCUGUCCUAAUCUAAGGGCCGUGGAGGAGUCACAAGCUGCUGGUGACCAACAGUACAGCAACGAGGACGUUGUAAGUGCUAGACACUUGGGCGAAGCCAGCGAACUUUGACUUAUCUCGGCCUAUAUGCCACACAAUUACAAGCAGAGCCACCUCUAGUGAUGCUAAGGAAAAUUCUGGCGGAGGCCAGACGAAAGAAUUAUAUAUUAAAUUUAUCGCUCGCUUUUUCAAAGUUUUUUGCACACAGGCGCCCCUUGCUACUGAUCUCCGGUUUAUUAUUAUUGCUUGCACAGACGGACUGGCGUUCAGACCAAAAGUCACUCGGAAUCGAAUUUGUCUCAUCAUCCUCAUAAUUUAUAUAUAUAUAUAUAUGUAUGUAUAUGAUCUAACUCGACCAC